Long non-coding RNA from Musa acuminata AAA Group (dessert banana), 242 nucleotides. RefSeq lists it as uncharacterized. The transcript is spliced from 3 exons. The record is from RefSeq and is a predicted model, not a curated record. Lineage: Eukaryota; Viridiplantae; Streptophyta; Magnoliopsida; Zingiberales; Musaceae.
AGAAAGCUCUUCAAAUGCUGCACUCUUUCAUGGUGCGGAACAGCAUCAUGUUGGUGAUGAAGCCGACGGCGGGCUAUGGAGUUGACAUUGGCUUUAGAUGGUUCUCAAAUCUUGCGAAGGACAACUUACCCUUGAGCUUUGGUUGCACCAUCUCUGCAGUUCAAGUGUACACGGGCAUAUUACUUCUAAGGCAUGCUAAAAGCAUCAUCGACUACUCAUUGGCCCAAAUGCAACUUCCGCAG